Molecule: long non-coding RNA, 565 nt
Organism: Homo sapiens (human)
Lineage: Eukaryota; Metazoa; Chordata; Mammalia; Primates; Hominidae
Gene: LOXL1-AS1
Product: LOXL1 antisense RNA 1
Source: Ensembl
GCAGUUUCCAGUGGCCAGGGGUACGCGCGGCCGGAGGGGCGCCGGGGCCGUACUCACCGCGGCCGUUCUGGUUGGGCCGGUACACGCUGCCCACGCUGAGGCGGCCCUGCUGCGCGCCGUUCCGCUCCCCACCCGGCGGGGGCGUGUCGGAGCUGCGCACCGGCAGGAGCUCCUGCCUGCCUGGAUGAAGAGGAGGUCAAGACUUUGUCCCCCACUCCGCAAGAUACCCUCUCUGUUCCGGAGCGGUGGGUCCCUCCCCUGUUAGGACCUUGUCUCCCUCAGGACUGGACCUGGAUCCUGGGCCUGCAGUCAGAUUGCCAGUUUCACUUAGAGGUGGAAAUGUCAACCCACUGGUUGGAAUGGGAAGAGACUGGGUCCCACCAUAUUGCCUGGGCUGGCCUCGGACUCUUGACCCCAAGUGAUCCUCUGGCCUCAGCCUCCCAAGCAGCUGGAUUUACAGGCAGGCACCACCGCACCGAGCUAAAAAUCAGCCUCAUUUGUUCUUUUCCCAGAAGACUGGUUUUGUCUAAGACAGAAAAUAUGACCACUGACAGCUUCUGAGUGU